This 253-nucleotide ribosomal RNA is filed under the name uncultured bacterium. RNAcentral describes it as "partial 16S ribosomal RNA". It matches the Rfam family "Bacterial small subunit ribosomal RNA", at positions 524 to 776 of the family's 1533-position model. The record is from RNAcentral.
UACGUAGGUGGCAAGCGUUGUCCGGAUUUAUUGGGUUUAAAGGGUGCGUAGGCGGUUUUUUAAGUCAGUGGUGAAAUACGGCAGCUUAACUGUCGAGGUGCCAUUGAUACUGGGAAACUUGAGUACUGAUGAGGUAGGCGGAAUGGACGGUGUAGCGGUGAAAUGCUUAGAUAUCGUCCAGAACACCGAUAGCGAAGGCAGCUUACUAAGGAGUAACUGACGCUGAGGCACGAAAGUGUGGGGAUCAAACAGG